UACUUGUUUGUUCCUACUAGUAGUCAUAUGCUUGUCUCAAAGAUAAAGCCAUGCAUGUUUCAGUAUGAACAAAUUCAGAAUAUGAAACUGCGAAUGUCUCAUUAAAUAAUUUAUAGUUUGUUUGAUGGUAUCUACUACUCAGAUAACCAUUAUAAUUCGAAAUAUAAUACAUGCAAUAAACCCCAACUUCUGGAAGGGUUGCAUUUAUUAGAUAACUCGAUGGAUCACACGACCAUCGUACCAGUAACACAUCAUUCAAAUUUCAUCCCUAUCAACUUUCGAUGGAAGGAUAGUAUCCUACCAUGGUGAUGAUGGGCGAUGUAGAAUUAGGGUUCAAUUCUGGAGAGGGAGCCUGAUAAAUAGCUACCACAUCCUAGGAAGGCAGCAAGCGUGCAAAUUACCCAAUACUGAUAUGGGGAGGUUAUCAUAAUAAAUAAUAAUAUCGGGCUCAAUGAGUAUGGUAAUUAGAAUGAGUACAAACUAAAUCCCUUAACAAGGAUCCUUUGGAGGGAAAGUCUGGUGCCAGCCCCUGCAGUAUAUUUAAGUUGUUGCAGUUAAAAAGUCAUAGUUGGACUUUGGGAUGGUCCGGAUGGUCCGCCUAUGGUGUAGACCGAUCAUCUUAUCCCUUCUAUCGACGAUGCGCUCCUGACCUUAACUGGUCGGGUCGUGCCUCCGGUACUAUUACUUUGAUUAAAUUAGAGAUCUCAAUGAAAGCCUACGCUCUAUAUACAUUAGCAUGGGAUAACAUUAUAGGAUUUUGGUCAUAUUACGUUGUCCUUAAGAAUUGGAGUAAUGAUUAAUAGGGACAUUCGAGGGCAUUCGUAUUUCAUAGUCAGAGGUGAAAUUCUUAGAUUUAUGAAAGACGAACACUGCAAAAGCAUUUGCCAAAGAUGUUUUUAGUAAUCAAUAAUGAAAGUUGGGGGCUCGAAGAUGAUCAGAUAUCAUCCUAGUAUCAACCAUAAAUGAUGCCAACUAGGGAUCGGAACAGGGAUCGGAAGAUGUUGCUUUUAGGACUCCGCCGUCACCUUAUGAAAAAUCAAAGUUUUUGGAUUCCGGUGGGAGUAUGGUCGAAACGCUGAAACUCAAAGAAAUUGAUGGAAGGGCACCACCAGGAGUGGAUCCUGUGGCUUAAUUUGACUCAACAUGGGGAAACUUAACAGGUCCAGACAAAGUAUGGAUUGACAAACUGAGAGCUCUUUCUUAAUGCUAUGGGUGGUGGUGCAUGGUCGUUCAUAGUUGGUGGAGCGAAUUGUCUGGUUAAUAUCGUCAACAAAUGAGACCUCAGCCUACUAACUAGCUAUGCGGAAUAUCCCUUCGUGGCCAGCUUCUUAGAGGGACUAUGACUUUUUAGGCCAUGGAAGUUUGAGACAAUAACAGGUUUGUGAUGCCCUUAGAUGUUUUGGGCUGCACACGCAUUACAAUGAUGUAUUCAUGAGUUUACAGCCUUGGUCAAUAGGCCCGGGUAAUCUUUGAAAUUUUAUCGUGAUGGGGAUAGAUAAUUGCAAUUGUUAGUCUUCAACAAGGAUUUCCUAGUAAGCGCGACUUAUCAGCUCGCAUUGACUAUGACCCUGCCCUUUGUACACACCACCCGUCGCUUCUAUUGAUUGAAUGAUCCAAUGAAAUAUUUAGGUUGUGGUGACAUGGGAGGUUUUCUACCCAUGAAAUUUCCAGAAGUCUAUUGAACCUAAUCAUUUCGGUAAGGGAAAAGUAGUUACAAGGUUUCCUUAGGUAAACCUAAAAUAGGAUCAUUA
Molecule: non-coding RNA, 1751 nt
Organism: Capsicum annuum
Lineage: Eukaryota; Viridiplantae; Streptophyta; Magnoliopsida; Solanales; Solanaceae
Source: Rfam